This 77-nucleotide transfer RNA is filed under the name Planctomycetota bacterium. Its description in RNAcentral is "Planctomycetes bacterium tRNA-His". It matches the Rfam family "tRNA". Rfam says of the family: Transfer RNA (tRNA) molecules are approximately 80 nucleotides in length. Lineage: Bacteria; Pseudomonadati; Planctomycetota. The record is from RNAcentral.
GUGGGUGUAGCUCAGUCGGUUAGAGCGCCAGUUUGUGGUAUUGGAGGUCGAGGGUUCGAGUCCCUCCUCCCACCCCA